This 1101-nucleotide long non-coding RNA is filed under the name Apteryx haastii (Great spotted kiwi). RNAcentral's name for it is "lncRNA (ENSAHAG00000018203.1)". Lineage: Eukaryota; Metazoa; Chordata; Aves; Apterygiformes; Apterygidae. The record is from RNAcentral.
AUGGAAAAUGCAUCAUCUGCUUUCUUUUCCGGCCGCGACUGCCGGGCCGGAGCGGCAACCCGCGAGCCUCGGGCCAAACCGGAGCCACAGCGCGCCCGUGCCCCCGCGGGGACCCGGCGGGCAUCCCGGCGCCCCGGGGAUCGGCCGGCCGCUCCUGCCGGGGGCGGCCGCUGCCGCGGGAGACGGAGAGGGCCAGGGCAGGGGCGCUUCCCGGCCUCGCCGCCCACCGGAUCACCUGAACGGCACUGGAUUCACGCAGCAGCGGGCGCUGGCACAGCCCCCAUCCCGGGAGCCAAAGCGGGUUCCCCCUCCCCAGCGCGAGGAGGAGGAGGAGGAGGAGGAGGAGGAAGGCUGUGCUGGGCCACCCCGGCACGGAGCAGCAGGGUGCCCAGCCAAGGCCGCUCACUCGGCCGCAUGGUCCCGGCGCUGCUAGGAAAGGGAGGCACCGGGUGGGAGCCGGAGUCGGAGCCGCCUGGCCACCCCAGGCUUCCCGGCUCCGGCAGGGCUCCGACCCGGGGAGGAGACGCCGCAGGCACCAGCCAUGCCAUUAUACGCUUUAUUGAUGCCGUUCUGAAGAAAGCUAAUCAAUAUAUUAGAUUUCCCAAAGAAAGAAAACACCAGCUGCCAGCAGCACAGCACUCCUCGGUGGCGGCGGCGCGUUUUUCCAUGGGCCCCCGGAGCCGCUGCACGUGUCCGCGUGGCAGGACGAGGCUCCGCGGCGCAGCCAGACCCACGCCUGCCCCAGCGGCACGGGCUCCCGAAAGGCCGCCGCCACACGCAGGGCCGAGCCGCUUCAGAAAUCGGUCCCGAGUCAUCCCAACGGCACGGGCGAGCCCCAAGCGUUCCCGCUCGGCGGCGGUGUGCCGGGACGGGCUCCGGCUCACGGAUGCCCUGCCGUGCAGCAGACCUCAACCAACGGCUCUGAAACGCGGGAGAAGCUGGAAAUCAUCAAACUGCCGCAGGAAUCCGGCGGCGGCGGAUUCCCAGGAGCCAGCCCCACGGCAAAGCCCGCCGGAGCUCGGGGCAAGGCGCGCGCCCGGCACCCUUCACGGCCGAGGGCUUCCAAGAUCGAGCCUCCGCAAAGGGAUAUUCAUUCUGUAA